Molecule: ribosomal RNA, 505 nt
Filed under: uncultured bacterium
Lineage: Bacteria
Description: bacterial SSU rRNA
Rfam family: Bacterial small subunit ribosomal RNA
Source: RNAcentral
GACGAACGCUGGCGGCGUGCCUAACACAUGCAAGUCGAGCGGGGUUGAAGCGAGGGGUAACUCGAGUUUCUACCUAGCGGCGGACGGGUGAGUAACGCGUGGGCAACCUGCCUCAAGGACUGGGAUAACAGCUCGAAAGGGCUGCUAAUACCGGAUAAGCCUAUGGCCUCGCAUGGGGCCAUGAGCAAAGGGGAAACCCGCCUUGAGAUGGGCCCGCGUCCCAUCAGCUAGUUGGUGAGGUGAAGGCUCACCAAGGCGACGACGGGUAGCCGGCCUGAGAGGGUGACCGGCCACACUGGGACUGAGACACGGCCCAGACUCCUACGGGGGGCAGCAGUGGGGAAUCUUGCACAAUGGGCGAAAGCCUGAUGCAGCGACGCCGCGUGAGCGAAGAAGGCCUUCGGUUGUAAAGCUCUGUCUGGAGGGACGGAAGGAAGUAGACGGUACGUUCCGGAGGAAGCCACGGCUAACUACGUGCCAGCAGCCGCGGUAAAAGUCAACGUCG